RNAcentral lists this transfer RNA (75 nucleotides) under bioreactor metagenome. Its description in RNAcentral is "tRNA-Val". It matches the Rfam family "tRNA". From Rfam's summary of the family: Transfer RNA (tRNA) molecules are approximately 80 nucleotides in length. The record is from RNAcentral. RNAcentral also lists the same sequence under 1 other name.
GGGCUCGUGGUCUAGACGGUUAUGACGUCGCCUUCACACGGCGGAGGUCCUGAGUUCGAAUCUCAGCGGGCCCAC